This 253-nucleotide ribosomal RNA is filed under the name uncultured bacterium. RNAcentral's name for it is "partial 16S ribosomal RNA". It matches the Rfam family "Bacterial small subunit ribosomal RNA", at positions 524 to 776 of the family's 1533-position model. The record is from RNAcentral.
UACGUAGGCAGCGAGCGUUGUUCGGAGUUACUGGGCGUAAAGGGUGUGUAGGCGGAAGUCCAAGUGGUGUAUGAAAGCUCCCGGCUUAACCGGGAAGGGUUAUGCCAGACUGGACAUCUAGAGUGUGGGAGAGGGACGUGGAAUUCCGGGUGUAGUGGUAAAAUGCGUAGAGAUCCGGAGGAACACCAGAGGCGAAGGCGGCGUCCUGGCCCACAACUGACGCUCAUCCACGACAGCAUGGGGAGCGAACGGG